UAGGGAAUAUUGGGGCAAUGGGGCGCAAGCCUGACCCAGCGACGCCGCGUGAGGGAAGAAGGUCUUCGGAUUGUAAACCUCUUUCAGCAGGGAAGAAGCAAGUGACGGUACCUGCAGAAGAAGUCACGGCUAACUACGUGCCAGCAGCCGCGGUAAUACGUAGGUGGCGAGCGUUAUCCGGAAUUACUGGGUGUAAAGGGUGUGUAGGCGGGAGAGCAAGUCAGAUGUGAAAAUUGUGGGCUCAACUCACAACCUGCAUUUGAAACUGUUUUUCUUGAGAGUGGGAGAGGUAAAUGGAAUUCCUGGUGUAGUAGUGAAAUGCGUAGAUAUCAGGAGGAACACCGGUGGCGAAGGCGGUUUACUGGACCACAACUGACGCUGAGACACGAAAGCGUGGGGAGCAAACAGGAUUAGAUACCCUGGUAGU
Molecule: ribosomal RNA, 427 nt
Filed under: uncultured Oscillospiraceae bacterium
Lineage: Bacteria; Bacillati; Bacillota; Clostridia; Eubacteriales; Oscillospiraceae
Description: bacterial SSU rRNA
Rfam family: Bacterial small subunit ribosomal RNA
Source: RNAcentral